AGUGAACGCUGGCGGUAGGCCCAACACAUGCAAGUCGAGCGGCAGCACAGUAAGAGCUUGCUCUUACGGGUGGCGAGUGGCGGACGGGUGAGGAAUACAUCGGAAUCUACUUUUUCGUGGGGGAUAACGUAGGGAAACUUACGCUAAUACCGCAUACGACCUACGGGUGAAGGCAGGGGAUCUUCGGACCUUGCGCGAUUGAAUGAGCCGAUGUCGGAUUAGCUAGUUGGCGGGGUAAAGGCCCACCAAGGCGACGAUCCGUAGCUGGUCUGAGAGGAUGAUCAGCCACACUGGAACUGAGACACGGUCCAGACUCCUACGGGAGGCAGCAGUGGGGAAUAUUGGACAAUGGGCGCAAGCCUGAUCCAGCCAUACCGCGUGGGUGAAGAAGGCCUUCGGGUUGUAAAGCCCUUUUGUUGGGAAAGAAAAGCAGCAGGUUAAUACCCCGCUGUUCUGACGGUACCCAAAGAAUAAGCACCGGCUAACUUCGUG
RNAcentral lists this ribosomal RNA (492 nucleotides) under uncultured bacterium. RNAcentral describes it as "partial 16S ribosomal RNA". It matches the Rfam family "Bacterial small subunit ribosomal RNA", at positions 29 to 507 of the family's 1533-position model. The record is from RNAcentral.